UUUAGUGUAUCUUCUGAGUAAAACAAGCAAAUAAAUUAAAACUUUCAACAACGGAUCUCUUGGCUCUGGCAUCGAUGAAGAACGCAGCGAAAUGCGAUAAGUAAUGUGAAUUGCAGAAUUCAGUGAAUCAUCGAAUCUUUGAACGCACAUUGCGCCCGCCAGUAUUCUGGCGGGCAUGCCUGUUCGAGCGUCAUUACAACCCUCAGGCCCCCGGGCCUGGCGUUGGGGAUCGGCGGAGCCCCCCGUGGGCACACGCCGUCCCCCAAAUACAGUGGCGGUCCCGCCGCAGCUUCCAUCGCGUAGUAGCUAACACCUCGCGACUGGAGAGCGGCGCGGCCACGCCGUAAAACACCCAACUCUUCUGAAGUUGACCUCGAAUCAGGUAGGAAUACCCGCUGAACUUAAGCAUAUCAAUAAGCGGAGGA
This 425-nucleotide ribosomal RNA is filed under the name Fusarium solani. RNAcentral describes it as "eukaryotic LSU rRNA". The stretch from base 40 to 193 matches the Rfam family "5.8S ribosomal RNA". Lineage: Eukaryota; Fungi; Ascomycota; Sordariomycetes; Hypocreales; Nectriaceae. The record is from RNAcentral.